GGGUUGUGAGGUUAAGCGACUAAGCGUACACGGUGGAUGCCCUGGCAGUCAGAGGCGAUGAAGGACGUGCUAAUCUGCGAUAAGCGCCGGUAAGGUGAUAUGAACCGUUAUAACCGGCGAUUUCCGAAUGGGGAAACCCAGUGUGAUUCGUCACACUAUCAUUAACUGAAUCCAUAGGUUAAUGAG
Molecule: ribosomal RNA, 186 nt
Filed under: Salmonella enterica subsp. enterica serovar Typhimurium
Lineage: Bacteria; Pseudomonadati; Pseudomonadota; Gammaproteobacteria; Enterobacterales; Enterobacteriaceae
Also listed under: 1 other name
Description: partial 23S ribosomal RNA
Rfam family: Bacterial large subunit ribosomal RNA
Source: RNAcentral